Molecule: small nucleolar RNA, 144 nt
Organism: Psammomys obesus (fat sand rat)
Lineage: Eukaryota; Metazoa; Chordata; Mammalia; Rodentia; Muridae
Product: small nucleolar RNA SNORA48
Exons: 1
Source: RefSeq, a predicted model, not a curated record
ACCCUCUGACAAUGGGCAAAGAGACACCUAGUUAGUGGUGUUGUUCUUCUAUCAGUCAGGGGCAGAGCAGAUGGCAGUCCUUUCUUUGUUCUAUCUUCAUGUCUGGCAUGGUGGCCAAAGGUAUCUUACACCUAGGACUCGUAA